Molecule: long non-coding RNA, 405 nt
Organism: Acanthaster planci (crown-of-thorns starfish)
Lineage: Eukaryota; Metazoa; Echinodermata; Asteroidea; Valvatida; Acanthasteridae
Gene: gcc1
Source: RefSeq, a predicted model, not a curated record
CAGGAGUGGUGCGAGAAAGGCAGAAGGGGUCGAGCCUUCAAGUUCACGCUGCUGACAUUAACAAGGACAGAUUGAAACUUCAAAUUCAGCAGUGAUGACCAGACCAUCAUGAGAAUGUUGUAGAAAGCGUCAAAUUUGGAACUGUGUAUAUACUUCGGAAGCCUAUGCGAGAAAGAGCACAGUGGGAUUUUACAUGACUGGACAACUCAGACGAUGAAAACAUGACAGAAGCCUCUAUCGUUACUGACUUGACAAGAUGAAACUCUUGAGGUUUGAAACACUGUUACCGGAGGAGAGAGUAACUUGGUCACCUCUUGUGUGUGCUCAUAGAAUCAUACACUCGAUUGCACCUCAUCCUUUUGAUGGAGAAAAUCCAAUUUACGAUGAAUCACUGUGGAUUCCCCA